RNAcentral lists this ribosomal RNA (274 nucleotides) under uncultured bacterium. Its description in RNAcentral is "partial 16S ribosomal RNA". It matches the Rfam family "Bacterial small subunit ribosomal RNA", at positions 523 to 796 of the family's 1533-position model. The record is from RNAcentral.
AUACGGAGGGUGCAAGCGUUAUUCGGAAUCACUGGGCGUAAAGGACGCGUAGGCGGGUUGGCAAGUCAGAUGUGAAAUCCUACAGCUUAACUGUAGAAAUGCAUUUGAAACUGCUAACCUAGAGUAUGGGAGGGGGAGAUGGAAUUAGUGGUGUAGGGGUAAAAUCCGUAGAUAUCACUAGGAAUACCGAAAGCGAAGGCGAUCUCCUGGAACAUAACUGACGCUAAGGCGUGAAAGCGUGGGGAGCAAACAGGAUUAGAAACCCGAGUAGUCC